GAUGAACGCUGGCGGCGUGCCUAAUACAUGCAAGUCGAGCGAACAGACGAGGAGCUUGCUCCUUUGACGUUAGCGGCGGACGGGUGAGUAACACGUGGAUAACCUACCUAUAAGACUGGGAUAACUUCGGGAAACCGGAGCUAAUACCGGAUAACAUGUUGAACCGCAUGGUUCAACAGUGAAAGACGGUCUUGCUGUCACUUAUAGAUGGAUCCGCGCCGCAUUAGCUAGUUGGUAAGGUAACGGCUUACCAAGGCAACGAUGCGUAGCCGACCUGAGAGGGUGAUCGGCCACACUGGAACUGAGACACGGUCCAGACUCCUACGGGAGGCAGCAGUAGGGAAUCUUCCGCAAUGGGCGAAAGCCUGACGGAGCAACGCCGCGUGAGUGAAGAAGGUCUUCGGAUCGUAAAACUCUGUUAUCAGGGAAGAACAAAUGUGUAAGUAACUAUGCACGUCUUGGCGGUACCUAAUCAGAAAGCCACGGCUAACUACGUG
Molecule: ribosomal RNA, 497 nt
Filed under: uncultured bacterium
Lineage: Bacteria
Description: partial 16S ribosomal RNA
Rfam family: Bacterial small subunit ribosomal RNA
Source: RNAcentral